This 253-nucleotide ribosomal RNA is filed under the name uncultured bacterium. RNAcentral's name for it is "partial 16S ribosomal RNA". It matches the Rfam family "Bacterial small subunit ribosomal RNA", at positions 524 to 776 of the family's 1533-position model. The record is from RNAcentral.
UACGACGGUCCCAAGCGUUAUCCGGAUUUAUUGGGUUUAAAGGGUGCGUAGGCGGGCUAUUAAGUCAGUGGUGAAAGCCCCAAGCUUAACUUGGGAACUGCCAUUGAUACUGAUGGUCUUGAGUACAUUUGAGGUGGGCGGAAUGUGUCAUGUAGCGGUGAAAUGCUUAGAUAUGACACAGAACACCGAUUGCGAAGGCAGCUCACUAAACUGUAACUGACGCUGAGGCACGAAAGCGUGGGGAGCAAACAGG